Molecule: ribosomal RNA, 941 nt
Filed under: Waitea circinata
Lineage: Eukaryota; Fungi; Basidiomycota; Agaricomycetes; Corticiales; Corticiaceae
Description: partial large subunit ribosomal RNA
Rfam family: Eukaryotic large subunit ribosomal RNA
Source: RNAcentral
AGCAUAUCAAUAAGCGGAGGAAAAGAAACUAACAAGGAUUCCCCUAGUAACUGCGAGUGAAGAGGGAAAAGCUCAAAUUUAAAAUCUGGUACCCUUAGGGUGCUCGAGUUGUAAUUUGGAGAGGCGUUUUCGGUGCUGGACUGUGUAAAAGUUUCUUGGAAUAGAACAUCAUAGAGGGUGAGAAUCCCGUCUUUGACACAGACUACCAGUGCUAUGUGAUACGCUUUCAAAGAGUCGCGUUGUUUGGGAAUGCAGCGCUAAAUGGGUGGUAAAUUCCAUCUAAAGCUAAAUAUUGGCGAGAGACCGAUAGCGAACAAGUACCGUGAGGGAAAGAUGAAAAGCACUUUGGAAAGAGAGUUAAACAGUACGUGAAAUUGUUGAAAGGGAAACGCUUGAAGUCAGUCGCAUUGCUUUGGAUUCAGCCUUGCUCUUUUGCUUGGUGUAUUUCCUUUGUAAUGGGUCAGCAUCAAUUUUGUUCAGUGGAAAAAGGAUGGGGGAAGGUGGCACCUCCGGGUGUGUUAUAGCCCCUGUUUGUAUACAUUGAAUGGGAUUGAGGUCUGCAGCACGCCUUUAUGGUCGGGGUUCGCCCACGCAAGUGCUUAGGAUGCUGGCAUAAUGGCUUUAAGCGACCCGUCUUGAAACACGGACCAAGGAGUCUAACAUACCUGCGAGUGUUUGGGUGUUAAAACUCAUGCGCGUAGUGAAAGCAAAAGUUAAGAUCCCUGUCGUGGGGAGCAUUGACGCCCGGUCUUGCGCUUUGGCUAAAGAUCUGAGGUAGAGCAUGUAUGUUGGGACCCGAAAGAUGGUGAACUAUGCCUGAAUAGGGUGAAGCCAGAGGAAACUCUGGUGGAGGCUCGUAGCGAUUCUGACGUGCAAAUCGAUCGUCAAAUUUGGGUAUAGGGGCGAAAGACUAAUCGAACCAUCUAGUAGCUGGUUCCUGC